GACGAACGCUGGCGGCGUGCUUAACACAUGCAAGUCGAACGGAAAGGCCCUGCUUUUGUGGGGUGCUCGAGUGGCGAACGGGUGAGUAACACGUGAGUAACCUGCCCUUGACUUUGGGAUAACUUCAGGAAACUGGGGCUAAUACCGGAUAGGAGCUCCUGCUGCAUGGUGGGGGUUGGAAAGUUUCGGCGGUUGGGGAUGGACUCGCGGCUUAUCAGCUUGUUGGUGGGGUAGUGGCUUACCAAGGCUUUGACGGGUAGCCGGCCUGAGAGGGUGACCGGCCACAUUGGGACUGGGGUACGGCCCAGACUGCUACGGGAGGCAGCAGUGGGGAAUAUUGCACAAUGGGCGGAAGCCUGAUGCAGCAACGCCGCGUGCGGGAUGACGGCCUUCGGGUUGUAAACCGCUUUCGCCUGUGACGAAGCGUGAGUGACGGUAAUGGGUAAAGAAGCACCGGCUAACUACGUG
RNAcentral lists this ribosomal RNA (468 nucleotides) under uncultured bacterium. RNAcentral describes it as "partial 16S ribosomal RNA". It matches the Rfam family "Bacterial small subunit ribosomal RNA", at positions 28 to 507 of the family's 1533-position model. The record is from RNAcentral.